GACGAACCGAGCGAACGUUGUUCGGAAUCACUGGGCUUAAAGGGUGCGUAGGCGGGCUGCCAAGUUUGGGGUGAAAUCCUCCGGCUCAACCGGGGAAGUGCCUCGAAUACUGGCGGUCUGGAGGGAGGUAGGGGCGUGCGGAACUAACGGUGGAGCGGUGAAAUGCGUUGAUAUCGUUAGGAACUCCGGUGGCGAAGGCGGCCUGCUGGACCCUCACUGACGCUGAGGCGCGAAAGCCAGGGGAGCGAACGGG
This 253-nucleotide ribosomal RNA is filed under the name uncultured bacterium. RNAcentral describes it as "partial 16S ribosomal RNA". It matches the Rfam family "Bacterial small subunit ribosomal RNA", at positions 524 to 776 of the family's 1533-position model. The record is from RNAcentral.